RNAcentral lists this long non-coding RNA (467 nucleotides) under Mytilus galloprovincialis (Mediterranean mussel). Lineage: Eukaryota; Metazoa; Mollusca; Bivalvia; Mytilida; Mytilidae. The record is from RNAcentral.
GUGUUUCUAGCUUAAACAUGUUAAAUCAUGAAAUGUUGUACUCAAACUACUGAGUAAAUUUUAAUGACCAAAAUUGUUUAUUAAGGAUGUACUUAGGUGAGGUUUUGGAAUUUGUGUCAAAUGUUUGGACUCCUUGGUUUUUUUCCAUACAAUACAAUGUAAAAUAUUUUGCCCCAUAACACCCAUUUAUUUUUUCAUAUAAGACUUAAUAGCUCAUGAAAGGUCAUUUACUAAAAUUUUAUAAGAUUCUUAAUUUUCUUUCUUUUGUUUUGAGACCUAAUAAUACCAAUGCAAAAAUAAGGUAAUUUAGUCCUAGUCAGCCUUUUCCCGCCAUAUUUUAAAUCGCAAAUAUCUCGAAAAGAAGGUCCAUGACCUAUUAAUAUUUUUGGCUUAUUUUUAUCCUUAAUUGAUGCUAUAACAGCUUAUAGUAUCAAUUUUAACUUCUUAAUUUAUAAUUUUCACCUAAC